Molecule: ribosomal RNA, 497 nt
Filed under: uncultured bacterium
Lineage: Bacteria
Description: partial 16S ribosomal RNA
Rfam family: Bacterial small subunit ribosomal RNA
Source: RNAcentral
GAUGAACGCUGGCGGCGUGCCUAAUACAUGCAAGUCGAGCGAACGGACGAGAAGCUUGCUUCUCUGAUGUUAGCGGCGGACGGGUGAGUAACACGUGGAUAACCUACCUAUAAGACUGGGAUAACUUCGGGAAACCGUAGCUAAUACCGGAUAAUAUUUUGAACCGCAUGGUUCAAAAGUGAAAGACGGUCUUGCUGUCACUUAUAGAUGGAUCCGCGCUGCAUUAGCUAGUUGGUAAGGUAACGGCUUACCAAGGCAACGAUGCAUAGCCGACCUGAGAGGGUGAUCGGCCACACUGGAACUGAGACACGGUCCAGGCUCCUACGGGAGGCAGCAGUAGGGAAGCGUCCGCAAUGGGCUAGAACCUGACGGAGCAACGCCGCGUGAGUGGUGAAGGUGUUCGGACCGUAAAACUCUGUUAUUAGGGAAAAACAUAUGUGUAAGUAACUGUGCACAUCUUGACGGUACCUAGUAAGAAAGCCACGGCUAACUACGUG